UACGUAGGGUGCGAGCGUUGUCCGGAAUUACUGGGCGUAAAGAGCUCGUAGGUGGUUUGUCGCGUUGUUCGUGAAAUCUCACGGCUUAACUGUGAGCGUGCGGGCGAUACGGGCAGACUAGAGUACUGCAGGGGAGACUGGAAUUCCUGGUGUAGCGGUGGAAUGCGCAGAUAUCAGGAGGAACACCGGUGGCGAAGGCGGGUCUCUGGGCAGUAACUGACGCUGAGGAGCGAAAGCGUGGGGAGCGAACAGGAUUAGAUACCCUGGUAGUCCACGCCGUAACCGGUGGGUACUAGGUGUGGGUUUCCUUCCCUUGGGAUCCGUGCCGUAGCUAACGCAUUAAGUACCCCGCCUGGGGAGUACGGCCGCAAGGCUAAAACUCAAAGGAAU
Molecule: ribosomal RNA, 390 nt
Filed under: uncultured Mycobacterium sp.
Lineage: Bacteria; Bacillati; Actinomycetota; Actinomycetes; Mycobacteriales; Mycobacteriaceae
Description: bacterial SSU rRNA
Rfam family: Bacterial small subunit ribosomal RNA
Source: RNAcentral